AUUGAACGCUGGCGGCAUGCUUUACACAUGCAAGUCGAACGGCAGCGCGGGCUUCGGCCUGGCGGCGAGUGGCGAACGGGUGAGUAAUGCAUCGGAACGUGCCCAGUAGUGGGGGAUAGCCCGGCGAAAGCCGGAUUAAUACCGCAUACGACCUGAGGGUGAAAGCGGGGGACCGAAAGGCCUCGCGCUAUUGGAGCGGCCGAUGUCGGAUUAGCUAGUUGGUGGGGUAAAGGCUUACCAAGGCGACGAUCCGUAGCUGGUCUGAGAGGAAGACCGGCCACACUGGGACUGAGACACGGCCCAGACUCCUACGGGAGGCAGCAGUGGGGAAUUUUGGACAAUGGGGGCAACCCUGAUCCAGCCAUGCCGCGUGCGGGAAGAAGGCCUUCGGGUUGUAAACCGCUUUUGUUCGGGAAGAAAUCCUCUGGGCUAAUACCCCGGGGGGAUGACGGUACCGGAAGAAUAAGCACCGGCUAACUACGUG
Molecule: ribosomal RNA, 484 nt
Filed under: uncultured bacterium
Lineage: Bacteria
Description: partial 16S ribosomal RNA
Rfam family: Bacterial small subunit ribosomal RNA
Source: RNAcentral